Bradysia coprophila is the source of this 163-nucleotide long non-coding RNA. NCBI's taxonomy places the organism in Eukaryota, Metazoa, Arthropoda, Insecta, Diptera, Sciaridae. The record is from RefSeq and is a predicted model, not a curated record.
GUUAAUAGUUGGACAAUUUAUAUGCUAUCCCUGCAAAAGGAUUUCAAUUUUGCUUGCUAAUUACUCGUAGCAUAUCCCUCUAUCAUUUUUAAUAAAAAUAUCCCAUGUUCACGACCUUCGCAAAAUAAAGUUGUUCAGCCCCACCGUGUAGUGAUGAAGACUU